CCUGGUGUUAUCAGCGCCAUGGAACCACUUCGACUCCAUCCCGAACUCGAAAGUGAAACAUGGCAGCGGCGAAGAUACUUGCUGGGUAGCUGGCUGGGAAAAUAGUUCGAUGCCAGGA
This 118-nucleotide ribosomal RNA is filed under the name Moorena sp. SIO2B7. The record is from RNAcentral. Lineage: Bacteria; Bacillati; Cyanobacteriota; Cyanophyceae; Coleofasciculales; Coleofasciculaceae.